This 828-nucleotide ribosomal RNA is filed under the name Triticum aestivum (bread wheat). RNAcentral's name for it is "partial small subunit ribosomal RNA". The record is from RNAcentral. Lineage: Eukaryota; Viridiplantae; Streptophyta; Magnoliopsida; Poales; Poaceae.
AUGGAAGCCGCUGCCGCUGCGAGCCCCGGUAGCUCGUCGCUGGAAGCCGUGGCCACCGCCUUCCGGUCCCGCGUCAACGAGCUCCAGGACCUAGCCCUUGCCCGCAACAUGUACCCGGCAACGGCGGUGACCGACCUCACCGCCGUGGACACGUCGGUGACGGCCAUGGAGGCACAGGUGCAGGCCAUCCGCCGCCGCCUGCAGGAGGAGCUCGACGCCAUCCCCAAGGCCAAGAAACUAGUGGAGAAGUCCUUGAAGCAACAGCAGAAGUUGCAGCAUAUGCUUGCAAACAUGCCACCUGGGAUGCGUGAGGAUAUCGUUGCUACUCCUCUGGAACAAAGCUUGAUGUUGCCCGAGUGCUUUAAUUUUAACACAGCUGUUCCAGAAUGUCUGGACUCUGAUUUUAAGAUUAAGGAAGAGCCAGUUGCAGCUCCCAAAAAGGGGAAAGGUUCAGCACCUCGUUGGUAUAUAUCCACUGAGGAGCUUGAUUCAUUAUCAUCGUACAUGAGGGGGAGGCUAACAUUGGAGAAGGUUAACAUUUCGAUAAACGAGGUGGCUACAUAUGCAGAUGCUAAUGCUCAUCUUGUUGCAUGUCCUAAGAAAAAGUUAUCAGAAGACACAUGGGAAAAAGCUUUGGAACUAAGGGACAUAGCUGCCACUGAGGCAGUGAAGGGGAAGCAUUUCUUCCUGGAAGCUGAUAUAAAGGGGCCUGGGCUAAAACUUGAUCACACAGGCAAAGCUAUCCUUACCGUCCUUCGCCAUCUUGGCCGCGUCCAUGAAACCCGGAUUGGGCAUCAUCGGGUCUUCAUACUUUCAAAACAAUGCUGA